This 215-nucleotide unclassified non-coding RNA is filed under the name Hevea brasiliensis (rubber tree). Lineage: Eukaryota; Viridiplantae; Streptophyta; Magnoliopsida; Malpighiales; Euphorbiaceae. The record is from RNAcentral.
AGCUUUUGCAAAAUUUUGGUGAAUCUCCUCAUUUUCCAUUCAAAAUAGGAUGUGGCAUAUGGCACAGCAGAAACACCAGGCCAGCUGCAAACCUUGACACUCUCUAAUACAACUAAUUCCUAACAACAUACUUUUAAGGAACGUUGUAAACAUGAAAAAAUUAAAAUGAAAAAUUAUGACAUACAGCAUAUGUAACAUUGGGUCAACCAAUCAAG